This 1531-nucleotide ribosomal RNA is filed under the name Salmonella enterica subsp. enterica serovar Newport. RNAcentral's name for it is "partial 23S ribosomal RNA". It matches the Rfam family "Bacterial large subunit ribosomal RNA", at positions 1 to 1484 of the family's 2925-position model. Lineage: Bacteria; Pseudomonadati; Pseudomonadota; Gammaproteobacteria; Enterobacterales; Enterobacteriaceae. The record is from RNAcentral.
GGGUUGUGAGGUUAAGCGACUAAGCGUACACGGUGGAUGCCCUGGCAGUCAGAGGCGAUGAAGGACGUGCUAAUCUGCGAUAAGCGCCGGUAAGGUGAUAUGAACCGUUAUAACCGGCGAUUUCCGAAUGGGGAAACCCAGUGUGAUUCGUCACACUAUCAUUAACUGAAUCCAUAGGUUAAUGAGGCGAACCGGGGGAACUGAAACAUCUAAGUACCCCGAGGAAAAGAAAUCAACCGAGAUUCCCCCAGUAGCGGCGAGCGAACGGGGAGGAGCCCAGAGCCUGAAUCAGCAUGUGUGUUAGUGGAAGCGUCUGGAAAGGCGCGCGAUACAGGGUGACAGCCCCGUACACAAAAGCGCAUGUGCUGUGAGCUCGAUGAGUAGGGCGGGACACGUGGUAUCCUGUCUGAAUAUGGGGGGACCAUCCUCCAAGGCUAAAUACUCCUGACUGACCGAUAGUGAACCAGUACCGUGAGGGAAAGGCGAAAAGAACCCCGGCGAGGGGAGUGAAAAAGAACCUGAAACCGUGUACGUACAAGCAGUGGGAGCACAGGUUUACCUGUGUGACUGCGUACCUUUUGUAUAAUGGGUCAGCGACUUAUAUUCUGUAGCAAGGUUAACCGAAUAGGGGAGCCGUAGGGAAACCGAGUCUUAACCGGGCGUUAAGUUGCAGGGUAUAGACCCGAAACCCGGUGAUCUAGCCAUGGGCAGGUUGAAGGUUGGGUAACACUAACUGGAGGACCGAACCGACUAAUGUUGAAAAAUUAGCGGAUGACCUGUGGCUGGGGGUGAAAGGCCAAUCAAACCGGGAGAUAGCUGGUUCUCCCCGAAAGCUAUUUAGGUAGCGCCUCGUGAAUUCAUCUCCGGGGGUAGAGCACUGUUUCGGCUAGGGGGCCAUCCCGGCUUACCAACCCGAUGCAAACUGCGAAUACCGGAGAAUGUUAUCACGGGAGACACACGGCGGGUGCUAACGUCCGUCGUGAAGAGGGAAACAACCCAGACCGCCAGCUAAGGUCCCAAAGUCAUGGUUAAGUGGGAAACGAUGUGGGAAGGCCCAGACAGCCAGGAUGUUGGCUUAGAAGCAGCCAUCAUUUAAAGAAAGCGUAAUAGCUCACUGGUCGAGUCGGCCUGCGCGGAAGAUGUAACGGGGCUAAACCAUGCACCGAAGCUGCGGCAGCGAACGUAUCACUUAAAGCGAUUCAGCGGGUUACGAUUGACGGAGCGAAGCGACGUCAAAGCGUAUACAAAGUCGAGUCGGUUUAAGGAUACGUUCGUUGGGUAGGGGAGCGUUCUGUAAGCCUGUGAAGGUGGCCUGUGAGGGUUGCUGGAGGUAUCAGAAGUGCGAAUGCUGACAUAAGUAACGAUAAAGCGGGUGAAAAGCCCGCUCGCCGGAAGACCAAGGGUUCCUGUCCAACGUUAAUCGGGGCAGGGUGAGUCGACCCCUAAGGCGAGGCCGAAAGGCGUAGUCGAUGGGAAACGGGUUAAUAUUCCCGUACUUGGUGUUACUGCGAAGGGGGGACGGAGAAGGCUA